This 520-nucleotide unclassified non-coding RNA is filed under the name uncultured Glomus. Its description in RNAcentral is "SSU rRNA". It matches the Rfam family "Eukaryotic small subunit ribosomal RNA", at positions 569 to 1089 of the family's 1831-position model. Lineage: Eukaryota; Fungi; Glomeromycota; Glomeromycetes; Glomerales; Glomeraceae. The record is from RNAcentral.
AGCAGCCGCGGUAAUUCCAGCUCCAAUAGCGUAUAUUAAAGUUGUUGCAGUUAAAAAGCUCGUAGUUGAAUUUCGGAAUCAGUAUGUUGGUCGUGCUUCGGUACGUACUGUCAUUACUGGUUUCUACCUUCUGAAGAACCUUGAUGUCAUUAAUUUGGUGUCUUGGGGAAUCAGGACUGUUACUUUGAAAAAAUUAGAGUGUUUAAAGCAAGCAUACGCUUGAAUACAUUAGCAUGGAAUAAUGAAAUAGGACGUUUGAUUCUAUUUUGUUGGUUUCUAGGAUCGACGUAAUGAUUAAUAGGGAUAGUUGGGGGCAUUAGUAUUCAAUUGUCAGAGGUGAAAUUCUUGGAUUUAUUGAAGACUAACUACUGCGAAAGCAUUUGCCAAGGAUGUUUUCAUUAAUCAAGAACGAAAGUUAGGGGAUCGAAGACGAUCAGAUACCGUCGUAGUCUUAACCAUAAACUAUGCCGACUAGGGAUCGGGAUGAUGUUAAUUUUUAAUGUACUCAUUCGGCGUCCUU